GAUAGCCUACGGGGGGCAGCAGUGAGGAAUAUUGGUCAAUGGGCUUACGCCUGAACCAGCCAAGUCGCGUGAGGGAAGACGGCCCUACGGGUUGUAAACCUCUUUUGUCGGGGAGCAAAGAGAGUCACGUGUGACUCAUUGAGAGUACCCGAAGAAAAAGCAUCGGCUAACUCCGUGCCAGCAGCCGCGGUAAUACGGAGGAUGCGAGCGUUAUCCGGAUUUAUUGGGUUUAAAGGGUGCGCAGGCGGAGGUGCAAGUCAGCGGUCAAAUUGCGGGGCUCAACCCCGUACUGCCGUUGAAACUGC
This 305-nucleotide ribosomal RNA is filed under the name uncultured bacterium. RNAcentral's name for it is "bacterial SSU rRNA". It matches the Rfam family "Bacterial small subunit ribosomal RNA", at positions 333 to 636 of the family's 1533-position model. The record is from RNAcentral.